RNAcentral lists this small nuclear RNA (119 nucleotides) under Panthera tigris altaica (Amur tiger). RNAcentral describes it as "U4 spliceosomal RNA (ENSPTIG00000001918.1)". It matches the Rfam family "U4 spliceosomal RNA". Rfam says of the family: U4 small nuclear RNA (U4 snRNA) is a component of the major U2-dependent spliceosome. The record is from RNAcentral. Lineage: Eukaryota; Metazoa; Chordata; Mammalia; Carnivora; Felidae.
AGCUUUGCGCAGUGGCAGUAUCGUAGCCAAUGAGGUUUAUCCGAGGUGCGAUUAUUGCUAAUUGAAAACUUUUCCCAAUACAAUUAGCUUCCUUUUUUUUUUUUAAAUAUAGCAUUAUC